RNAcentral lists this transfer RNA (71 nucleotides) under Ictidomys tridecemlineatus (thirteen-lined ground squirrel). RNAcentral's name for it is "Spermophilus tridecemlineatus (thirteen-lined ground squirrel) tRNA". It matches the Rfam family "tRNA". From Rfam's summary of the family: Transfer RNA (tRNA) molecules are approximately 80 nucleotides in length. Lineage: Eukaryota; Metazoa; Chordata; Mammalia; Rodentia; Sciuridae. The record is from Rfam by way of RNAcentral.
GGGGCUGUGGCCCAGUGGCAGAGCGCUCACCUCGCAUGUGGAAGGCCCUGGGUUCGAUCCUCAGCACCCCA